This 110-nucleotide non-coding RNA is filed under the name Pyrococcus horikoshii OT3. Lineage: Archaea; Methanobacteriati; Methanobacteriota; Thermococci; Thermococcales; Thermococcaceae. The record is from RNAcentral.
GGGGCUAGGCCGGGGGGUUCGGCGUCCCCUGUAACCGGAAACCGCCGAUAUGCCGGGGCCGAAGCCCGAGGGGCGGUUCCCGUAAGGGUUCCCACCCUCGGGCGUGCCUC